AAUAGAUACCCAGGUAGUCCACGCCGUAAACGAUGAGUGCUAAGUGUUAGAGGGUUUCCGCCCUUUAGUGCUGCAGCUAACGCAUUAAGCACUCCGCCUGGGGAGUACGGCCGCAAGGCUGAAACUCAAAGGAAUUGACGGGGGCCCGCACAAGCGGUGGAGCAUGUGGUUUAAUUCGAAGCAACGCGAAGAACCUUACCAGGUCUUGACAUCAUCUGCCAACCCUAGAGAUAGGGCGUUCCCCUUCGGGGGACAGAGUGACAGGUGGUGCAUGGUUGUCGUCAGCUCGUGUCGUGAGAUGUUGGGUUAAGUCCCGCAACGAGCGCAACCCUUGAUCUUAGUUGCCAGCAUUCAGUUGGGCACUCUAAGGUGACUGCCGGUGACAAACCGGAGGAAGGCGGGGAUGACGUCAAAUCAUCAUGCCCCUUAUGACCUGGGCUACACACGUGCUACAAUGGAUGGUACAAAGAGCAGCGAACCCGCGAGGGUAAGCCAAUCUCAUAAAGCCAUUCUCAGUUCGGAUUGU
This 526-nucleotide ribosomal RNA is filed under the name uncultured bacterium. Its description in RNAcentral is "bacterial SSU rRNA". It matches the Rfam family "Bacterial small subunit ribosomal RNA", at positions 777 to 1301 of the family's 1533-position model. The record is from RNAcentral.